UUGUGUAAAGGUUUUUAUAUUUUGUUCCUUACUGUGACUAAGUAUGUCACCACUUCUGAUUCUGAAAUUAAAACCCAUAGAUCUUGCUGUGAACUCAACCACACCUCCCAUGAUGCAGCAGAUAAAGUCUCAUUGAGAUGGCACCAAACCAGUGUCUUACCAACAUGUGACUGAAAUCAUAUAAACCCAUGAAGUUAUCAGUGCCUGUGACUACAGCCAACAGUGUGACAUUUGGAGCACAGGUGUCAUUAUGUACAUGCUAAAACUUGGAAAAAAAGAUUUUGAACUAAUAAGAAAGGAAGACCUCUGCUUUGAAAAAUUUGGUCUGGGAGACAAGUUACCAAGGCUGAAAGAGCUAAAAUUCCUUUCCCAAAAGCACUGAAAAGCACUUGUUCUCAGAAAUGGUCCCUGAGGAAGUAGAGACAGUGAUGACUCUUUUAAGUAGGAAGUCAUAUCAAAAUAGGAAAAAACCCUAGAAGGUAAGAAAUUACUUAUGGGGUGAGAUCAUCUAUGUCAGUGCUCUCUCUGACAGUGAUGACAGCAAAUGGUAUUUAGGGAGAA
Molecule: long non-coding RNA, 561 nt
Organism: Vidua chalybeata
Lineage: Eukaryota; Metazoa; Chordata; Aves; Passeriformes; Viduidae
Exons: 4
Source: RefSeq, a predicted model, not a curated record